GUGGGCAUGGAAGGUGGGGUGUGCGUGGUUAAGGCCAUGGUGGAUCCAGAUUUGAGAGAUGAAGGGAGGUGAGGGCUGAGGGAAUCUUGAUGGAGAGGGGUGGGGAUCGGCACUCACUGACCUUGUUACUGUCCCCCACCUCUUCCAGGUACAUGGUUUUAUUGGGAGCUGUAGUGAUGGCCCCAGAUGACUCCAGUGGGGACUGGCCACCUGUGGGGGCCGGGGCCUCAGCCAGACUACCUUGGAGUGUACCCUGAGGCCAGGCUUGGUUUGCAAGGUGAACCCCAUCUUCCAUCACUGGAGCCUGGGUGAUUGCAAGUUUGGGCUGACGUUUCAGAGUCCGGCAGAGGCUAGUGAAUUCCAGAAGAGCCUGCUGGCCGCUCUGGCCGCGCUGGGUCGAGGCUCACUCACCCCCUCCUCCUCCUCCUCCUCUUCCUCCUCCCCUUCCCAGGACACUGCAGAGACCCCCUGCCCUCUGACGGUGAGUCCCCAGGCUGCAGAUCUGCUGGGAGGGCAGGGGGUGGCUUGUACUCUAGGAACAUUCUUGAGCACCUCUUGUGUGUUAGGCACAUGCCACUUACUUGGGCCCAGACUAUUCCUGUCAAUUCAAUCUCAGUUACUGUCAUUUUUUUUCUGUUCCAUCGUUAUUCACGUUUGUUCAAGAAUAUUGAGCCACCUACAAGCAUUGGUGGUUUAGGCACUGGUGAUACAUCAGUCACAAAAGAAAAGCCCUUCCUCAUCAUGGAGUUUCUAUUCUAGUGUGGAAAGGCAGAAAAAAAAUUUUAAAUGAUAAUAAAAUUAAUAAAUAUUAAAGGAAGUGAAUGAACAAAUGGAUGACAGGUCCUUCCUGUACUAUGAGACAUUCUGACACCUCUCUCUGUUUUGUUUUUUUUUUUUUUUUUGUGGGACCUUCGCCGGUGGCCGGGGAUUGAACUGGCUCUGCAGAGGCUGCGGGCAGCCUCGCAACCCAGCGCUCAACUGCUGUGCCACCAGGGGAGGCCCUGACAGCUCUCUCUGUUUAAAAUCUUUUUAAAAUUAUAUUUAUGUUUGUAUAGAAGAAGUAGGGUGUAGGCCAGAGAUGUGGAGAGGUGAGAGGAUUCACCAGAGAGAGAGUGGGGAGCAGAGCAGGCAGAUCUACUGAAAUACACUGCUGAGGGGAACAACAGGUAACCCAGAACAGGUCUGCUGUGCAACAUGUGGGUCAGCCAGGGAUGAACUCUACUCAGGCCUUAGUGGUUAUACUGCUGAGACUUAACCCCUAGGCCACCAGGGGCUCACUGUAGAGGAUAGCUUGGCCCUUCCUGGUGGCUGACCUGGUGACUGCCACCUCCCAGCAACUGCAGCCCAUUCUGCUCUGAAGGGCCCUGUGCCCUGGCUGGAAGGGGUGGGUCUAGUCUCUGGGCUGAUUCUUAGUGCUCCCCCUGGUGGUCCCCUUAGUGCAUUCCUAAUCCCUUCCCUCUCUUCUCUUGCCAUGCUCACUACUCACUCCUUACACCCAUUCAUGUGUUCAGCUGACUGCAGUCCUGUGAUCACACACACACUGAUAGUUUCUUUCUAGAGUUCUUCUGCAGGAGGGAAGUAAAGUGACCACAAACAAGGGCUUCUUUUCCCAAGUAGCACAGAGGCCCCCUGUGGGCCAGCCUGGCCCUUUUUUGACAGGUGCUUUUAUCUGGGCAUGGGCAUGGGCUUUGUUCACUCCUUGGGGUCUUUGGUUCUUUUCUUGAGUACCCACAUGGUAUCCCCUUUGCAUGGCACAGACAGAGGCUCAGAGAGAUGCUGGCAGCACCUCGGAAUAACCCAGAAGUUAGUAAGUGGUAAAGAAGGGACCUGACCCAGAGGCCUUGUUCUCACCCACUUUCCUCCUUACUCACCAGCAGACAGAACCUGGUACUCUGCCCUGCAACUCUGAAUGACCUAGGGCCAUGGAUGUUGUAAUAGCCUGAAUGCAGAUUACAUGAGAUAAUGUCUGUCAAGUAGAGAUAAGGGUGACUGACCCCAACACCCAAGAAGUGUUUUUGCACCAUUUGCCUUGUAAUCUUAGGAGGUCAGAGUUAAUAUUCUCAUUUUAGACCCAAUAAAUCCCUUCUAGAAAACUAAUCUGCAACAUAUUGUUAUAGCAAAGGGUCAGAAACAACUUAAUAUCCCUUAAUGGGAGUGCUCAGGUGACUUGUGCAGUGGAUUAAAAAAAAAAAAAUGUGGGGAGGUGGUCAAAGAUCUCCACAUACUAAUACGGAAUGGUCUCCGAAGUGUAUUUUAUUCUUUAGAGAAAAAAGGCACAGCACAAAACAGUGUUUGCACAGUAUUGGCCUGAAAGAGGCUAAGAAUAUAUUUCCCCGAUUGCUUUUAUUUGCAAAGAAAGUCUGGGCAGGACAGUACUCACUGCUCACUGUGGUCCGUUGAUCUUGGCAUGGAGGUGACACAGGACAGCUGGAGGGUGAGGACAGCAGUGAAACUUUUCUCUCUCUCUCUGUGUGUGUGUAAUCAUUGACUAUAUUACCCACCUAAAAUUUAAGUCUGAAAAAAGUCAAUGACUUUUAGUUUCCAAACAGACAGGGAAACAGAGGCAUUCCCAGCAGGAAUGUCACUGUUUUGUUGUCCCCUCAAGCUGUUCCAGUUUCAUGUCCCUUCCUCUUCUCACCCCUGUGUCACCAGAUCAUUAUUUGGAGGCCUUGGACUCUUUCUGGCUUCCCGUCUUGGAGAAAAUAUAGAACCUGGAAUAACUGAUAAACCGCGGGCUUUCGAUCUGCAAAUAUUAGAAGGAAGGAAAGGAACUGACACGUAGUAGGUGCUCCAGCAGAUUUUGUUGGAUGAACAAAGGUCUGGGCUUCUCUGGGAGGGGACCUGGGCUGGGGCUGGAAUCAAGAGGUUUGACCAGGAAGGUCAUUCAUUCAUUCAUUCAUUCACCUGCCACACUCCAGCACCACAGAGGGUGCUAAAAUUACAGCAGAGAACAAGAGGCAAAAUCCUGACCUUGUGAAGCUGCUGUUGAGUGGGGAGGAUGCAUUAGUUAGGGCUGCCAUAACAAAUAACCAUGGGGUGGGGGCGUUCUUUACUCCCUGUUCUGGCGGCCAGAAGUCCCCAGUCAGAGUUGGUUUUCCCUCUGGAGGUUCUGAGCCAGAACCUGUCCCUUGCCUCUUCUCCAGCUUUUGGUGGUUGUUGACAAUCCUUGGCUAGUAGACAAAUCAUUGUGA
Long non-coding RNA from Talpa occidentalis (Iberian mole), 3191 nucleotides. RefSeq lists it as uncharacterized. The transcript has 3 exons. Lineage: Eukaryota; Metazoa; Chordata; Mammalia; Eulipotyphla; Talpidae. The record is from RefSeq and is a predicted model, not a curated record.